AUAGCGCGGGGCGGGGGGGGGGGGGGACGCGGGCCAGUGCCAAGGAACGAGGGACCCCAAACCGGACAGGCGUUUUCCUUCCCUCCCCCUUCCCCCCGCCCCAGCCGCGCCUCAGUCCCUGCCCAAACUGCCCGUCUCCGGUAGGACUGACUGUCUGCCCGGCCUCACUCUGCUGCCAACCUUGCCCGAAAUCUAGACCCCAGACCCGUGAACAAAAGAAUACCCUCCAUGAACAGCAACUGCAUAAAAUUUAUGGGUCAAAAGAGAAAGCACAGGUUCACACCUCAUCAGAGAAGAAUGAAGAUUUGAAAUCAGAAGCUGCAAGCUAAUGGAC
Long non-coding RNA from Balaenoptera ricei (Rice's whale), 334 nucleotides. RefSeq lists it as uncharacterized. The record is from RefSeq and is a predicted model, not a curated record. The transcript is spliced from 3 exons. NCBI's taxonomy places the organism in Eukaryota, Metazoa, Chordata, Mammalia, Artiodactyla, Balaenopteridae.